RNAcentral lists this long non-coding RNA (2926 nucleotides) under Triticum aestivum (bread wheat). RNAcentral's name for it is "long non-coding RNA (TAES_LNC011106)". The record is from RNAcentral. Lineage: Eukaryota; Viridiplantae; Streptophyta; Magnoliopsida; Poales; Poaceae.
CUGGUCGUUGCUAGCUCCUGAUGAAACUGAUACUUUCCAUUCCUUGAUGGCACGGUUUUGAAAUUUUCCAUCCUCAUGUCAUGUUGACACCACAUGUUGGAAUAGAGAUAUUACGAGAUCAGGCAAAUCUAAAAAUGCUAUUUAGUAGGUGGUUCCUUGCAAGAAUUUCAGUAUUUUUCACUAGGCGCAUUGUGAAGUUAUCAUUUCUCAGCUGUCCCAGGAAAUGAGAAAAGUGGGGUAGCUUUCCUCAUCAAUAUCAAGAAAUGAAUAGACAAUAUUUUCCGGUCUAGUAAAUAAUUAGAGGCAACUUGGGAUGGCACCGGCUGGGGGCUCUUCACUCGGAAGGAGGGUCAGCAAAGUUUGAGCUGAAAAGGCGGGUUUGAGGAGCGUGUGUGUGUGUGGACUUUUACUGCAGGGCAUGUAGACUGUUUGCCAGCUCAAUAUAAGUUGUGAAAUGACCUCGGCUGAUUGUUGUUUCAGAAAUCUCUUCCUAGUUGGGAAAGGAAGAUGGCGACUGUUGGAGUUGCUGGGACACUUUGGGGGAUCCAGAAGGCCAAAAAAUAUGGCAUGUUUCGAGCUGCGAUCCCAGCUCACUUGCCUCUCAUGUUUGCUACGUGCUGGAUUGGCAACCGCUGGAGCUUGGUACAAGCGAGGCGACGGAGGGAAAAAGGGAGGCACCGCAACAGGGCUUAAUUUUGCUUGCAGAAUGAACAAUUUUGCUUCCAGAAUUGCAGAAUAGGCUUAAUUGCAGAUUCUGGAAGCAUGGCAAUUCAGGUUACUUUGAAUCUCGGAAUCAUCCUCCCUGACUUACACCCAAGUGAACAAGCUAUCUAUAGUAAGUGAAAGUUUGUUUCUGAAUCUAUCAGGCCUUAAUAAUUGUUCAAGUCUGAUUUUUAUGUUCUCUUGUAAAUUCUAAUGGCAGCUGCAAUUUUUGACAAGCAAAUUUCAUCAGUACUGCUGUACUGGUAGUACUGGUACUGUUCUUUCUCUAUAGAAAUGUGGGCAAUGUUAUUUACUAACUGAACUUUGCAAAGCACAAACAAAAAAGAGACCAUAUUGAUCAACGUGCCAUUCUGUAGAGAUUAUCGUACAUUUCAUCCCCUCAAAUACAAGUUUUUUGUUGUUCUUCAGGUGAGAAGAUGAGAAGAUGUGGAGUUCUUCCUCAAGCAAAAAGUGGCUGGGCAAUAGGAGCAUACUGAUUUACUGAAUGUGGAUGGUGCUUUCUUUCUUCCAGGUGAAGAUGUGCUGAAACUGCAUGUUGAUGGUGCUUUUUCUUCUUCUUCCAGGAAACGGGAGGAACCAUGGCGGCAAUGGCUUUGCUGUACUAUACAUGAUUCUGAAGGCUGAGUAAGUUGAUGAUGCCCUGAAGCUUCAGUGACAAGUACGGCCUGAUCAUGGCGAGAGUUUUAUUCAGGUAAGCUCCUACUUUUCUCUUUUUUGAGUCUUGCAAGUUAAGUAAUCCUUCUAGUAUUGUACUAUAGAUUUGAAUAAACUAGCAGCAUCUGGUGCUUCAAUCAAUUUUGUAUAUUUUGUUGGAUCUUCACUUGGAUGUAAACAAUUUGAACGAGUCAUGCAUGUAUGUAAACAGUAAGCGUUAUGUAAAUUUUGUACUCUGAACUCUGAAUUUGAAUCCCUGAAUCUUUCAGACUCCAUGUGUGAACUUUCAAACUUAUUAUACCCAAGUCAAGUGUGAAGCUGUACAGUAAGUGCUUAAAAAUCUUCCAGGAGUCAAGUUAACUUGAAUCAGAGCUGAAAAUGUGUGAUUUGCUUCAGACACUUCAGAGCCACAACUAUUUUAUCAGUAUUUUCCAUUAUCACAGCGGCAUCUGUAUGACACGAGUUCUUAUGUUUUCAGAACGUUGGGACUGGGCUUAACUAAUUAUGUUGAUAAAUCACUUAUCUUAAACUAGAUCAGUGAUUAGAGGACUUUGAGCGAAAAGCUCUUGCGUCUUUUUCAUAAAUGCCCAAUUUUGUAUUAUUAAAAUGUGUGUAUUUUCGUACUUGUUCGCUGAAAGUAUUGGAGGCAUGUGAUGAAAACCAAGUGCUAAUGCUAGCUGACUGCAUCAUUCUUAUGUCUGGAGUUUAUAUCUCCAACAUUUACGCAUAUUCAUUUACAGUAGAACUUCAGUAGUGAACUUACUACAUGAAGGCAAUGUGCUGACAGUUAAUAAUAAAAUACAGCUCCCGAAUUAAUCCCGAAAAUUGAAAUGAGGCCAUGAUGAGCGAGAUGAGACCACGGUGACCGUGAGGAUGACCAGGAGAAGAGCAUCAACUGGGGGAUGAUGUUGUACUGGUAAUUCAGAGCCUUAUAAUCAGAGAUUCAUUCAGGGUGCUCAUGACUAUAAAUUGACGAGUCAAAAUAAACAGGGGCUGGAUUUGAACAUGGAGAGGUUCAAACUAGAACGGGGAUUCAGUUCAACUAAAUUAUCAGAGACAGGAUGGUCCAAACUAGAACCACAUCAAAGUUCUCUUCCUCUUUCGUUCCUUUGGUUGUUGCUAGGUCCUGAUGAGACUGAUACUUUGGUUCCUUGAUGGCACGGAUUCGAACGUUCCAUGGGAUGAGAGGCAGGAGUCUUCUCUUUUCUGGGUGGCUGUAUUGGUACCGCUCUUCUCUUUUGUAUCUCUUGCGCGCCGUGUCUCUACUACGUCUACGUACCGGGUGGUUCAUCUCGGGUUAAUUUUCUGUUACUGAUGUACAGAAUGAACAACUUUGCUUCCAGAAUUGCAGAAUUCUGGAACCAUGGCAAUUCAGGUUACUCUGAAUCUUCCUCCCUGACUUACACCCAAGUGAACAAGCUAUCUAUAUUAAGUGAUUUUUUUUUUCUGAAUCUAUCGGGCCAUAAUUGGUGAAGUCUGAUUUUUAUGUUCUCCUCUAAUGGCAGCUGCAAUUUUUUACAGGCAAAUUUCAUCAGUAAUGUUGUACUAG